RNAcentral lists this long non-coding RNA (2515 nucleotides) under Meleagris gallopavo (turkey). RNAcentral describes it as "lncRNA (ENSMGAG00000019834.1)". Lineage: Eukaryota; Metazoa; Chordata; Aves; Galliformes; Phasianidae. The record is from RNAcentral.
AUGGAUGCCCCUCAGGCUGCCCGGCCCUCCAGCCAUCCCUCCCUGCUCCAGUUUUUCAGAAGCCUCCUUGGGUACCCACGGAGCUUGCUGGGGGCACAGGAGCCCAGAGCAGAGAAGCAGGAGCAGGGUGCUGCUGUAGGGCCCCACAGCUGGCAGGCAGAGCAGGUUGAACCCACCCAUGGGGGGAUCCAGGAGCACUGCGAGGAUGAGGAGGGGGACAGCAUGGAGCUGCUGCUGGGGGAGCUGCGGGAGGUCAGCCUGCAGGGAUCGCUGGGCAGCAGCACCAGCAGGAGCUGCCUGACCACCAGCACCAGUGACGUGGAAGUGGCAGUGGAGCGCAAUGGGAUGGAGGCUCCUGGUGGCACCGUGACCCUGCAGAGCGAUGGGGCGGCCGGCGAGGAGAGAGGGGCUGCAGAUGAAGCCGUUGGCAGAGCUCUGGUGAUGGAUGAGUUCCUUCAAGGUCUGAGUGCUGCUGAUGAAGACACCUGCUCUGCAAGCCCUGAGCCGAUGUUUUCAAUGGAUCUUGACACUGAAUGGGAGAAAGGGCAUCUCCUGAAAGCAAAGCAGGGCGCAGGAUCCCCGAAAGCAGAGCUGUCCCUGUGGAACAGGUUCAUCAGUGUGAACAGACACCAAUGGACUUUGCGUAAGGCUCGUGCCUCGAGGAGUUCGAUGGAGCUGGAAAGCGAGGAGCAGCCGCUCCUGCGGGCAGAUGAGAGCAGCCCCACGAGCCCUCAGCUCCCCGUCCUGCCCGCAGAACCCUCUGCAGCACUGCCGGUGUACAGGUUUUCCAAAAGCAGAGCAGCCGCUGGUGGCUUUGGGAGAAGCCAGGCAGAGCUGGGAGCAAACAGAGCAGGAAUGCCUGGAGAAGGCUGAGAUGCAGCACCUGCAGAGGUGGGAGCAGCCCCACGGAGCCACACCGCCACUGCAGGAGACAUCAGUGCUUCCCCUCUGCUGUUCCCAACCUGCCCAGGAGCCCCGUGCUUCAUCUUCCUCCUCUUCUUUCCUUUGUGUUUAUCAUUCAUGUGCACACCACGUUUCCUUGCUGCUUUUUCCCUUUCCUUUUCCUUGGAGAAGGCCCUGCGUGUCUCACCACACCCAUGGGGUGGACAAGUUUGGUCUGAGGUGGUUUCAAUUGAACAUUUUGUGUGAAUGAGCUCUUCUUGCUUCUCCGUCUUUGCUCUCAAGUUCCCUCAUUAAACACAGAAUUCUCUGCUGAAUUCGUUUUUCUCCUUUCUUUCUUUCCUUCCACCUCCCAGUUUUUUUCACGUCUUCCACUUUCCUCUCUGUGGUUUUUAAGGUGUUUAUGGAUUAAUUUUUUAAUUUGGGGGUUAGAAAAGGCAAAGGAGAGGUGUGAUCCUCCGAUCCAUGAUGGUCCCCUGAUUGUUAAAGGUGACAAUCUUGUAUGCAGUGUUGGAGAGGAGUUGGAGGACCCCGACCCUGUAGAGGAGAAGACCCUCUGCUCUUCAUCUUCUGUUUGAGUACAUGGGAGAAACCAUGCGAGCAGGGCUGGAGGAGCUGCUGGCAGCCCGGCUCCUGCUAAUCUGGGAAUUGUAUGCCAGGAAGCACACACCCAGCCGACCUGCCCCAGACAAAGCCUGCCGUGUCCGCACCGGCUCUCCAGGCGUUCCCCGCGCGCCUUGGGUUAUUUCAGAGUUAUCCCAGCAUGGGUUCCCUCCCCAGACUUCCACCUGUGCUGGUUGCGGGGUUGGAGCGCAUUGCUCCCGGCAUGGCUCGCAUGCUCUCCUUCUGCAAAAUGGGGCUGUGCCAUCUAAACUCUCCUGGCCAACCUGAAAUACCAGUGGUGAGAGCGGGAUCCCCUCCCUGCUUGUCUUGCAGGUGUUCACUUUGGACCCUAACGAUGGCAAAUUAACCAGGGCCAUUGUUACUUUCUCUGGGUUGAGCAGAGCUAUUGCGUCAAUAGAAACAUCCCACAUCACCUCUCUGGUAGCAGAACUCUGCGUCCUUGAUGUGUCCUUAGAAACCUUCAGCUCCAAAUAAACUUCUGCGGGAUUUCCUGUAGAAAAGCACUAUAUAAAAUGUGGGUAUUCUUAGCAGUGCCCCUCUGCCAGGUCGUGUGUCACACACCAGCACCGGGCGAGGAGAUGCCAGGAGGAAGGGUUUGCCUCUGCUGAGUCACUUGGGUUACACACUGCCUUGGGAAGCAGCUGCUGUCAUCUGCUAAACGAGGGUUGCCAGAGCUGACCAAGUCAUUUCCACAGCAUUCAAGCAUCCCUGGGUAGGGCAGCCCUCAUCCCUGCACCAUUCCCACUGUGUGGGUGGGAAUUGGAGGGGUCUGCACGGAGCCACGCUUGGCACUGCAUGUGGUGGGUGGUGGGAGUGGGCAGGGUGUGUUCUGCUCUCCUCUAUCAGGGCAGAGCUGGGCCCACCGCCACGGUGAGCAGCUGCACGCUCACGUGGUGCUCCCACAUCCUGCACAACGUAUUUCAAGAGGUGCUAUUUACAAACACCAACACGGUGCUAGAGCAAGUGCUGCAACCUGCACGGCGUGGAGGAG